Molecule: ribosomal RNA, 488 nt
Filed under: uncultured bacterium
Lineage: Bacteria
Description: partial 16S ribosomal RNA
Rfam family: Bacterial small subunit ribosomal RNA
Source: RNAcentral
GACGAACGCUGGCGGCGUGCUUAACACAUGCAAGUCGAACGGGGUAAUAUAAGUAGCAAUACGAGUAUUACCUAGUGGCGGACGGGUGAGUAACGCGUGAGCAAUCUGUCCUUCUGAGGGGGAUAACAUCUGGAAACAGAUGCUAAUACCGCAUGAGACCACAGCAUCGCAUGGUGCAGGGGUCAAAGGAGAAAUCCGCAGGAGGGUGAGCUCGCGUCCCAUUAGCUAGUUGGUGGGGUAGAAGCUCACCAAGGCGACGAUGGGUAGCCGAUCUGAGGGGAUGAACGGCCACACUGGAACUGAGAAACGGUCCAGACUCCUACGGGAGGCAGCAGUGGGGAAUAUUGGGCAAUGGGCGAAAGCCUGACCCAGCAACGCCGCGUGAGGGAAGAAGGCCUUCGGGUCGUAAACCUUUGUCGCAGGGGACGAGAAGAAGACGGUACCCUGUGAGGAAGCUCCGGCUAACUACGUGCCAGCCGCCGCCGUAA